Small nucleolar RNA from Lathyrus oleraceus (garden pea), 107 nucleotides. The record is from RefSeq and is a predicted model, not a curated record. NCBI's taxonomy places the organism in Eukaryota, Viridiplantae, Streptophyta, Magnoliopsida, Fabales, Fabaceae.
AAGCCCAUGAAAAGGGCAUAGUAUUAACAAAUCUUUGUAACGCUCCCAUGCAUCAAAUAAUGAUUCCCCAUCUUAUUUCCUAAAAAAUUUAAUCACAUUCCUAACUU